RNAcentral lists this ribosomal RNA (425 nucleotides) under uncultured bacterium. Its description in RNAcentral is "bacterial SSU rRNA". It matches the Rfam family "Bacterial small subunit ribosomal RNA", at positions 917 to 1345 of the family's 1533-position model. The record is from RNAcentral.
GGGCCCGCACAAGCGGUGGAGCAUGUGGUUUAAUUCGAUGAUACGCGAGGAACCUUACCAGGGCUUAAAUGUAAGUUGCAUGGAUCAGAGAUGGUCCUUUCUUCGGACUACUUACAAGGUGCUGCAUGGUUGUCGUCAGCUCGUGCCGUGAGGUGUCAGGUUAAGUCCUAUAACGAGCGCAACCCCUAUCGUUAGUUGCCAACAGGUUAAGCUGGGAACUCUAACGAGACUGCCGGUGCAAACCGCGAGGAAGGUGGGGAUGACGUCAAAUCAUCACGGCCCUUACGUCCUGGGCCACACACGUGCUACAAUGGCCGGUACAGAGAGCAGCCACUCCGCGAGGAGGAGCGAAUCUAUAAAACCGGUCUCAGUUCGGAUCGCAGUCUGCAACUCGACUGCGUGAAGCUGGAAUCGCUAGUAAUCGG